RNAcentral lists this long non-coding RNA (1244 nucleotides) under Mus musculus (house mouse). RNAcentral's name for it is "long non-coding RNA chr11:94118985-94120229". Lineage: Eukaryota; Metazoa; Chordata; Mammalia; Rodentia; Muridae. The record is from RNAcentral.
AAGUCUUAGUAUAUCAAUGGCUUGUCAAACAGAAGCUAUUAAAUGCUUGUAGAGAGUACACUGAGGAAGUCUGUCACAGUAGAAAAUGCAGGGUCCUAUUGGUGGCAGUGCACCACAUGUGGUCAGAAGAAACCAGAGCAUGAAGGUUGAAGGCUUCUGUCUUACUUCUGGGAGACAGAAAUAUAUUAAUGUAAGGUUUAGAGAUGGAUGCCAGCAAGAACAGAAGAGUUUUAAAGCAUUUUAAGUAAUUAAAAACUGGCACAGGAAUGUUUUAUAGAAAGGAAUUGUAGGGACUCUACUUAGCUAGGGUGAUGGUUGCUUUUUCUUGGAGUGCAGUGUGGCAGUUGGAAUCAUACUAAAGAAUAUGCUAGUCGGCAUCUCUGCAGUUUCCCACCUCCACCAAAUAUUUUCCAUUGCAGAGUCUGCAAAUAGCAUAAAAAUUGCUUAACCAAGUUUAACAGUAUCUCUAGGAAUUCAGCCUGGAAAAUAGACUUGGUUUUUAAGCAGACGCUAAUUUUAAUAGUGAAUAUGUUGUUUUAAAAAAGAAAGCAUGGUAGUAAAUGUUUUUAAAUCUCACCGCCCUGGGAGGCAGAGACAGAUGGAGCCUGGUCUGAGUAGUGAGUUCCAGGACACCAGAGGUACAAAGUGAAACGCUCUCUCAAAAAAAAACAAAAACACCUUGAAUUUCAUCUUGUUCGUGUUCUUAUUCACUUUCUGUAAUGUUUUAGCAAUAAUGUAUUCAGAAGUCCCAUACUUGUAAGGGCGUGGCUUGAAUUACAGGAUAUAGAGAUCCUGGGAAACAAGAUAGUAACACUCUUCAAAAUAGCUUAACAGGCAAGCAACCAGCAACCUUUGUCUCUGCCGCAUAGUCUUCACCACUGCAGCUUGCUGUUGUUGUUUUUUCAAAUAAGGUCUCCGGUUGUGUGGCCCUGCUGGCUUGCAAUUGACUCUCUAGACCAGGCUAGCCUAGAACCCACCGAAGUUUGCCCACCUUUGCCUGAGUGCCAUGAUUAAGGGUGUACUCUACAACAUCAUUGUAUUUCUAAAAUAUAAGAGCCAAACUUGGAGCUAGAACUAUGGCUUAGUGGUUAAGAACCCUAGAUGUUCUUCCAGAGGACGCUGUUCUAUCCCCAGUACACACUUAGAGGUUUAUUCCAAUUGUAUGGGAUGUUGAUACCUUCUUCUGGCUUUCUUGGGCACUGCAUAUACAUGGUUCAUAGAUAUUCAGGCAAAAAUACUCAUAU